AUUGAACGCUGGCGGCAGGCCUAACACAUGCAAGUCGAAUGGUAACAGGAAACAGCUUGCUGUUUCGCUGACGAGUGGCGGACGGGUGAGUAAUGUCUGGGAAACUGCCUGAUGGAGGGGGAUAACUACUGGAAACGGUAGCUAAUACCGCAUAACGUCGCAAGACCAAAGAGGGGGACCUUCGGGCCUCUUGCCAUCAGAUGUGCCCAGAUGGGAUUAGCUAGUAGGUGGGGUAACGGCUCACCUAGGCGACGAUCCCUAGCUGGUCUGAGAGGAUGACCAGCCACACUGGAACUGAGACACGGUCCAGACUCCUACGGGAGGCAGCAGUGGGGAAUAUUGCACAAUGGGCGCAAGCCUGAUGCAGCCAUGCCGCGUGUAUGAAGAAGGCCUUCGGGUUGUAAAGUACUUUCAGCGGGGAGGAAGGGAGUAAAGUUAACACCUUUGCUCAUUGACGUUACCCGCAGAAGAAGCACCGGCUAACUCCGUG
This 490-nucleotide ribosomal RNA is filed under the name uncultured bacterium. RNAcentral's name for it is "partial 16S ribosomal RNA". It matches the Rfam family "Bacterial small subunit ribosomal RNA", at positions 30 to 507 of the family's 1533-position model. The record is from RNAcentral.